CGGCAACAGCUCAAAUUUGAAAUCUGGCCUCUUUGGGGUCCGAGUUGUAAUUUGUAGAGGAUGUUUCUGGCGACGUGCCUUCCGAGUUCCCUGGAACGGGACGCCAUAGAGGGUGAGAGCCCCGUCUGGUUGGACACCGAUCCUCUGUGAAACUCCUUCGAC
This 162-nucleotide ribosomal RNA is filed under the name Hypocreales sp. RNAcentral's name for it is "partial large subunit ribosomal RNA". It matches the Rfam family "Eukaryotic large subunit ribosomal RNA", at positions 99 to 261 of the family's 3401-position model. The record is from RNAcentral. Lineage: Eukaryota; Fungi; Ascomycota; Sordariomycetes; Hypocreales.